Non-coding RNA from Leptodontidium sp. MPI-SDFR-AT-0119, 81 nucleotides. NCBI's taxonomy places the organism in Eukaryota, Fungi, Ascomycota, Leotiomycetes, Helotiales, Leptodontidiaceae. The record is from the annotation of a GenBank genome assembly.
GGCGGCUUGGCGGAGUGGUUAACGCGAUAGACUAGAAAUCUAUUUCUUUCGGGAGCGUAGGUUCAAAUCCUGCAGCCGUCG